GCGACCCCAGGAUGGGCGAGGCCACCCGCCG
RNAcentral lists this ribosomal RNA (31 nucleotides) under Coelogyne cristata. RNAcentral's name for it is "partial 26S ribosomal RNA". RNAcentral also lists the same sequence under 4 other names. The record is from RNAcentral. Lineage: Eukaryota; Viridiplantae; Streptophyta; Magnoliopsida; Asparagales; Orchidaceae.